Molecule: ribosomal RNA, 274 nt
Filed under: uncultured bacterium
Lineage: Bacteria
Description: partial 16S ribosomal RNA
Rfam family: Bacterial small subunit ribosomal RNA
Source: RNAcentral
AUACGGAGGGUGCGAGCGUUAAUCGGAAUUACUGGGCGUAAAGCGUACGUAGGCGGUUGGUUAAGUUAGAUGUGAAAGCCCCGGGCUUAACCUGGGAACUGCAUUUAAAACUGGCGAACUAGAGUUGGGUAGAGGGGAGUGGAAUUUCAGGUGUAGCGGUGAAAUGCGUAGAGAUCUGAAGGAACACCAGUGGCGAAGGCGACUCCCUGGACUCGAACUGACGCUGAGGUACGAAAGCGUGGGUAGCAAACGGGAUUAGAAACCCUAGUAGUCC